This 321-nucleotide long non-coding RNA is filed under the name Musa acuminata (dwarf banana). RNAcentral's name for it is "long non-coding RNA (MACU_LNC001050)". Lineage: Eukaryota; Viridiplantae; Streptophyta; Magnoliopsida; Zingiberales; Musaceae. The record is from RNAcentral.
CUCUUGAUCCCGGUGAUGGCGGCCGUCUACCUGGAGCUGGUACGGAUGGGGCCGGAGGAGAUCAUGGGCUUGUGGCGUUCCCUGCGACUUGAUCUCAUCCAGAUCCUCUGCUCCUUCUUCGUGAUCAUCUUCGCCGCCACCGUGUACCUGACGUCUCGGCCGCAGCCGGUGUACCUGGUGGACUACGCUUGCUUCAAGCCGCCCACCACCUGCCGCGUGCCCUUCUCCACGUUCAUGGAGCACACGCGGCUCAUCAGCUCGGACGAGAAGAGCGUCAGGUUCCAGAUGCGCAUCCUCGAGCGGUCGGGCCUCGGCGAGGAG